This 5717-nucleotide transfer RNA is filed under the name Pongo abelii (Sumatran orangutan). Its description in RNAcentral is "processed transcript". The stretch from base 1181 to 1253 matches the Rfam family "tRNA". The record is from RNAcentral. Lineage: Eukaryota; Metazoa; Chordata; Mammalia; Primates; Hominidae.
AGAAAAAGAUGGACCAAUAUCACCAAAGAAAAAGAAGCCCAAAGAAAGAAAACAAAAGAGAUUGGCUGUGGGAGAACUAACUGAAAAUGGUUUGACAUUAGAAGAAUGGUUGCCAUCAACAUGGAUUACAGAUACUAUUCCCCGAAGAUGUCCGUUUGUGCCACAGAUGGGUGAUGAGGUUUAUUAUUUCCGACAAGGACAUGAAGCCUAUGUCGAAAUGGCCCGGAAAAAUAAAAUAUAUAGUAUCAAUCCCAAAAAACAACCAUGGCAUAAAAUGGAACUACGGGAACAAGAACUUAUGAAAAUAGUUGGCAUAAAGUAUGAAGUGGGAUUACCUACCCUUUGCUGCCUUAAACUUGCUUUUCUAGAUCCUGAUACUGGUAAACUGACUGGCGGAUCAUUUACCAUGAAAUACCAUGAUAUGCCUGACGUUAUAGAUUUCCUAGUCUUGAGACAACAAUUUGAUGACGCAAAAUAUAGGCGAUGGAAUAUAGGUGACCGCUUCAGGUCUGUCAUAGAUGAUGCCUGGUGGUUUGGAACAAUUGAAAGCCAGGAACCUCUUCAACUUGAGUACCCUGAUAGUCUGUUUCAAUGCUACAAUGUUUGCUGGGACAAUGGAGAUACAGAAAAGAUGAGUCCUUGGGAUAUGGAGCUUAUACCUAAUAAUGCUGUAUUUCCUGAAGAACUAGGUACCAGUGUUCCUUUAACUGAUGGUGAGUGCAGAUCACUAAUCUAUAAACCCCUUGAUGGAGAAUGGGGUACCAAUCCCAGGGAUGAAGAAUGUGAAAGAAUUGUGGCAGGAAUAAACCAGUUGAUGACACUAGAUAUUGCCUCAGCAUUUGUGGCCCCCGUGGAUCUGCAAGCCUAUCCCAUGUAUUGCACAGUAGUGGCAUAUCCAACGGAUCUAAGUACAAUUAAACAAAGACUGGAAAACAGGUUUUACAGGCGGGUGUCUUCCCUAAUGUGGGAAGUUCGAUAUAUAGAGCAUAAUACAAGAACAUUUAAUGAGCCUGGAAGCCCUAUUGUGAAAUCUGCUAAAUUUGUGACUGAUCUUCUUCUACAUUUUAUAAAGUAAGUUAUCUUUUCGUAUGUAAUUAUGAUAAUUUUAAUAAUUAAUGGCACUACAGUUCCUCUUAAAAUAGAAAACAUACUGUUUGUAAAGAAGAAACAUUUAAGAGUAGCCAAAAUAGCUCAGCUGGGAGAGUGUUAGACUGAAGAUCUAAAGGCCUCUGGUUUGAUCCUGGGUUUCGGAAGAAACAGUUCAUUGGCUAAUAAUAAGAAUGAAAUCAUAAAAUCGCAUUACCAUUGUGUUUUAAGGUUAAAAUUGUUUAAAAAAAGAUUAUUUUCUCAAUUUAACAGCUAGACAAUAAUAAUAGUAAAGAUUUAUUUAACAUGUAAAGUUUUACCUACAUUAACUCUUCUAACCCAAAUAACAAUCUUACAGGUGGAAGAGAUCAUUAUCUGGAAUUUUGAAUUGAGGAAACUAUGGCCUAUAGUGGUUAACAUGUAUAAGGUUGCAUGGUAAAUGAGUGUCUGCCAUCUGAUUUGAGAAUUUUUCAUCCUAACAGUAUAUUGCCCCUGUCAAGUAUAUUAACAAGUAUUUGAGUAGUCCAGCAGGAGACUGAAUUUAACUUUCGUGAUGCUUCUUCAAAGUCAAGUUUACUUCCUCAUUGAUCCCAUAACGAGAGUGAUAACCACUAUUUAUUAAGGCAGAAGUACUUUCCCUUCCUUAUCUUAAGGAUUUUAUGCAAUCAUAUAAUGAAUUGAGCCCUAAGUUGAAGGCAGAGAAAUGAAUUCUAUAUUUUGUACAAAGACUGCUGUGAUUCCAUGUUAUUAUUUGUAUUGAAUUUUUUUUUCCUGGUUGAGAAGUAGUAACAGCAUUUUAAAAGCUUACUUAGCUGUUAUCAGCUUUCAUUUUUACAUAAUGAAAAAUUCAGGAUUAUUCAGGUUUUUUUUUUAAAUAAACAUCCCUGCUUCAUUCUCAUUAAUGGACAUAAUCUUUGAGCUCCUUUUCGAUUAAUGUUUUUUAACUGAGGAAUGCAGGUCAUUUCAGUAUAAGAAAACACCAAACAUAAUUAAUAAGGUAAAGUUUGUGCCCUUUCUCUACCUUAUUCUCUAAGAAAUCUAUUGCUUUCCAAUGGUUUGGGGGCUAUUAUUGCUAUGCUUUUGUUUUCCUUAUUGAAAUUAGUAAUUAAGCAUUAUCCUCUGAAGACUCUUAUGUCUGUAAUUUUUUAUAAGUGUUAUAACUGUGUAUGUGUAUCUGUUUUUUCAGAGAAUCAGUAGAACUACAUGAGAUAGUAUAUUCAUAUUUCAGUGAAAUAAUUUAGAUGAAAAUUGUUAAUACAUUUGAAAUAGUCUGUGAAAUGUAUUUCUUUCAAACAGCUACUUUGAAAUGUCUUUGAAAUCAGAUUCAUGAAAUACUUAAAGCAUGUGUAUUGUAUAUUUCUAAAAGUAAAUCUGUGGCUUUUUUUUACAGUGUAUAGUUUGUUUUAAAAUACUUUUUUUAGCAGAUAGUUUUCAAGAUAUUAAGUAUUCCUUGAAAUUUUGAUUAUUAUACUUUUUAAUUGAGUUAUUUGGCGAAAUUUCAAGCAAUUGAUACAUACAAAGUAAUGUAAUGGAUGCUUGGAGGUAGUAUUUUUAUCCUUUUAAUACAGUUUCAUAGGAUACAUAAAUCUGUAAGAAACUAUAAUAUAAGAAAACUGUGACAAGUAAUAAGAGAAUUGUAUAAAAGUUUAGAUAAGAAUAGGAUCACUUUUAGCUGUGAUGAUGGGGAUUCAGACACAGGGGAGAAGUAUGUUAAGAAGACAUUGUAUACAAGGUGUAGAUACUGAUAGAUUCUGGAAAUGUUAGAUGAAAAGAAAGCCAUUCCAGGGAUAAGGAGCAGCGUGAGGUAGGAAGGUUUAAUUAAGGGUAAUAUAAAUUGGAGAAGUCAUAGUAGAGAUACAGUGCUAUAAAUUUGAGUUGGGGCCACAUCGUGGGUGGCUUUGAAUACAAAUCUAAAAUAUAAGCUCUGAGAGCAAGGGGCUGUUGAAAGUAUAUUAACAUGAGAAUAACAUGUUUUACACUAUGCCUUAAAAAUGUUAAUUUGACUGCAGUGUCUAAUUUAAUUGAUAGAGAAGAGACAAAAAGCAUAAAUAGCAGAUUGACUGCUACAGUUGACCAACUAAGAGUUGAUGAGGGCUUAAUUUAUGAAAGUGAGAAAGGGACAGAUGCCCAGACAUACUUGGGGAUAGAGUUCACAGCCCUUGACCACUAAUUGGGUUUAUAAGGAGGAGGAAAGGGAAAGAAUAAUGAAAAACCAAGAUUCCCAUUACUGUAAGAAUGGUAUGUUGUUAAAGAAAAAUAGAAAAAGGAACAAGGAUAUCUGGGAAGUCACUAUUAAGUUUAGACGUGGAAUUUUAGGUGAUGGUAGAAUGCUCAGGAGAAGGGUUAGGACAAAUUGCAGGAAUUUUGGAAUCCAUUUACACAGAUAAACCACAAGUAUGUAAAGUUAUCAAAGCAAAAGGUACAGUGUCAAGAGAAGAUGCCUAAGAACAAAGUUUUAGGAAAUACAUUUAAAAAUAAAAGAAAGAGUUGGAAGACAAGAAAUACAUUAGCUGUUUGAAGACUGAGGAAUGGAAGCAGCACAGCAGAUACCUAAGCAAAGACUGGGAGAUGAGACUUGGGUUUGGUGUAAUGAUAUAGUCAGGCCACACUGAAAGCUCUACAUAGAGUGGAGGGGUCAGGGUUAAAUGUGUGUGCAUAAAUUAUUGGAGUAAGCCAGUGGAGAAGAAAGCAAGCCUUCAGCUUCAACUUUUACCUUAAAAUGUGGUUUUGGGAACAAAUUUUUAAGGAAAAAAAUUAUCAUGGCUCUAACCUUACAUGUUAACAUUUCCUUGUUAUAUAGGGAUCAGACUUGUUAUAACAUAAUUCCACUUUAUAAUUCAAUGAAGAAGAAAGUUUUGUCUGAUUCUGAGGAAGAAGAGAAAGACGCUGAUGUGCCAGGAACUUCUACUCGAAAAAGGAAGGACCAUCAGCCUAGAAGAAGAUUACGUAAUAGAGCCCAGUCUUACGAUAUUCAAGCAUGGAAGAAACAGUGUGAAGAAUUGUUAAAUCUCAUAUUUCAAUGUGAAGAUUCAGAGCCUUUCCGUCAGCCGGUAGAUCUCCUUGAAUAUCCAGACUACAGAGACAUCAUUGACACUCCAAUGGAUUUUGCUACCGUUAGAGAAACUUUAGAGGCUGGGAAUUAUGAGUCACCAAUGGAGUUAUGUAAAGAUGUCAGACUUAUUUUCAGUAAUUCCAAAGCAUAUACACCAAGCAAAAGAUCAAGGAUUUACAGCAUGAGUUUGCGCCUGUCUGCUUUCUUUGAAGAACACAUUAGUUCAGUUUUAUCAGAUUAUAAAUCUGCUCUUCGUUUUCAUAAAAGAAAUACUAUAACCAAAAGGAGGAAGAAAAGAAACAGAAGCAGCUCUGUUUCCAGUAGUGCUGCAUCAAGCCCUGAAAGGAAAAAAAGGAUCUUAAAACCCCAGCUAAAAUCAGAAAGCUCUACCUCUGCAUUUUCUACACCUACACGAUCAAUACCGCCAAGACACAAUGCUGCUCAGAUAAACGGUAAAACAGAAUCUAGUUCUGUGGUUCGAACCAGAAGCAACCGAGUGGUUGUAGAUCCAGUUGUCACUGAGCAACCAUCUACUUCUUCAGCUGCAAAGACUUUUAUUACAAAAGCGAAUGCAUCUGCAAUACCAGGGAAAACAAUACUAGAGAAUUCUGUGAAACAUUCCAAAGCUUUGAAUACUCUUUCCAGUCCUGGUCAAUCCAGUUUUAGUCAUGGCACUAGGAAUAAUUCUGCAAAAGAAAACAUGGAAAAGGAAAAGCCAGUCAAACGUAAAAUGAAGUCAUCUGUACUCCCAAAGGCGUCUACUCUUUCAAAGUCAUCAGCUGUCAUUGAGCAAGGAGAUUGUAAGAACAACGCUCUUGUACCAGGAACCAUUCAAGUAAAUGGCCAUGGAGGACAGCCAUCAAAACUUGUGAAGAGGGGACCUGGAAGGAAACCUAAAGUAGAAGUUAAUACCAAUAGUGGUGAAAUUAUACACAAGAAAAGGGGUAGAAAGCCCAAAAAGCUACAGUAUGCAAAGCCAGAAGAUUUAGAGCAAAAUAAUGUGCAUCCCAUCAGAGAUGAAGUACUUCCUUCUUCAACAUGCAAUUUUCUUUCUGAAACUAAUAAUGUAAAGGAAGAUUUGAUACAGAAAAAGAAUCGUGGAGGUAGAAAACCCAAAAGGAAGAUGAAGACACAAAAACUAGAUUCAGAUCUCCUAGUCCCUGCAAGUGUCAAAGUGUUAAGGAGAAGUAACCGAAAAAAGAUAGAUGAUCCUGUAGAUGAGGAAGAAGAGUUUGAAGAACUCAAAGGCUCUGAACCCCACAUGAGAACUAGAAAUCAAGGUCGAAGGACAGCUUUCUAUAAUGAGGAUGACUCUGAAGAGGAGCAAAGGCAGCUGUUGUUCGAAGACACCUCUUUAACUUUUGGAACUUCUAGUAGAGGACGAGUCCGAAAGUUGACUGAAAAAGCAAAAGCUAAUUUAAUUGGUUGGUAACUUGUACCAAAAUAUUUUAGUUCAAAAUCUAUAAAGCAGGUACAGUUAAGGAAUAAGUAGAACUAAGGCUUCUGCUUCCUUGCUGCUGUGGUGGAGUAGGGAAUGCUAUGAUUUGAUUUGCAAAAAAAAAAAAAAACAAAAAAACAA